GAUGAACGCUGGCGGCGUGCUUAACACAUGCAAGUCGAACGGAAAGGGCCGGCUUUUGUGGGGUGCUGGAGUGGCAAGCGGGUGAGUAAGACGUGAGUAGCGGGCCCUCGGCUGUGGGAGAACUCCAGGAAACUGGGGGUAAUGCCGGAUAGGAGGUAAUGCUGCUGGGGGGGGGUUGGAAAGUUUCGGCGGUUGGGGAUGGACACGCGGCUUAUCAGCUGGUGGGUGGGGUAGGGGCAUACGAGGGCUUCGACGGGUAGCCGGCCUGAGAGGGUGACCGGCCACAUCGCGACUGAUAUACGGCCCAGACUCCUACGGGAGGCAGCAGUGGUGAGUAUUGCACAGCAGUCGGAGGCCUGAUGCAGCAGCGCCGCGUCGGGGAUGUAGGCCUUCUGGUUGUAGUGCACUUUUGCCUGUGACGAAGCGUGAGUGACGGUAACGGGUAAAGAAGCACCGGCUAACUACGUG
This 468-nucleotide ribosomal RNA is filed under the name uncultured bacterium. RNAcentral's name for it is "partial 16S ribosomal RNA". It matches the Rfam family "Bacterial small subunit ribosomal RNA", at positions 28 to 507 of the family's 1533-position model. The record is from RNAcentral.